This 226-nucleotide unclassified non-coding RNA is filed under the name Hevea brasiliensis (rubber tree). The record is from RNAcentral. Lineage: Eukaryota; Viridiplantae; Streptophyta; Magnoliopsida; Malpighiales; Euphorbiaceae.
GAUUCCAAUCUCCCAUGUGCCAGGCAGCAUUAGCAGCCAUAGGAGAUAUUUGCAGCCGAGCAUCUGGCUCUGCAGAUGUCCACUUGUCUUUACAUAGGGCGCUAAGCUCUUCCCAACGAGCUAAGGCAGCAAGGCAGCGCAUUUGUCCUAGUGUGUCAUCAAGGCUUGAUGACUCAGAAGAUUUUAGAGUAUAUGCCUUGAGUGCAUCAUCCCACCGCUGCAAUUU